RNAcentral lists this ribosomal RNA (468 nucleotides) under uncultured bacterium. RNAcentral describes it as "partial 16S ribosomal RNA". It matches the Rfam family "Bacterial small subunit ribosomal RNA", at positions 28 to 507 of the family's 1533-position model. The record is from RNAcentral.
GACGAACGCUGGCGGCGUGCUUAACACAUGCAAGUCGAACGGAAAGGUCAGGCCUUUGUGGGUUGCUCGUUAGGGGCAGAGGGGAGUAACACGUGUGUAACAUGCACUUGACUUUGUGAGAACAUCAGGGAAAUGGGGCGAUUAUCGGAUAGGAUCUACUGCUGCAUGGUGUGCGUUGGAAAGUUUCGGCGGUUGGGGAUGGACUAGAGGCUUAUCCGCUUGAUGGGGUGGUAGGGGCUUACCCAGGCUUUGACGGGUAGCCGGCCUGAGAGGGUGACCGGCCACAUGGGUACUGAGAGACGGCCCAGACUCCUACGGGAGGCAGCAGGGGGGAAUAUUGCACAAUGGGCGGAAGCCUGAUGCAGCAACGCCGCGUGCGUGAUGACGUCCUUCGGGUUGUAAACCGCUGUCGCCUUUGACGAAGCGUGAGUGACGGUAAUGGGUAAAGAAGCACCGGCUAACUACGUG